AACGAACGCUGGCGGCAUGCCUAACACAUGCAAGUCGAACGAGACCUUCGGGUCUAGUGGCGCACGGGUGCGUAACGCGUGGGAACCUGCCCUUAGGUUCGGAAUAACUCCCCGAAAGGGGUGCUAAUACCGGAUAAUGUCUUCGGACCAAAGAUUUAUCGCCUUUGGAUGGGCCCGCGUUGGAUUCGCUAGUUGGUAGGGUAAAAGCCUACCAAGGCGACGAUCCAUAGCUGGUCUGAGAGGAUGAUCAGCCACACUGGGACUGAGACACGGCCCAGACUCCUACGGAAGGCAGCAGUGGGGAAUAUUGGACAAUGGGCGAAAGCCUGAUCCAGCAAUGCCGCGUGAGUGAUGAAGGCCUUAGGGUUGUAAAGCUCUUUUACCCGGGAUGAUAAUGACAGUACCGGGAGAAUAAGCACCGGCUAACUCCGUG
Molecule: ribosomal RNA, 433 nt
Filed under: uncultured bacterium
Lineage: Bacteria
Description: partial 16S ribosomal RNA
Rfam family: Bacterial small subunit ribosomal RNA
Source: RNAcentral